This 401-nucleotide ribosomal RNA is filed under the name uncultured bacterium. RNAcentral describes it as "bacterial SSU rRNA". It matches the Rfam family "Bacterial small subunit ribosomal RNA", at positions 30 to 431 of the family's 1533-position model. The record is from RNAcentral.
AUUGAACGCUGGCGGCGUGCUUAACACAUGCAAGUCGUGCGGUAACAGGCGUAGCAAUACGUGCUGACGAGCGGCGAACGGGUGCGUAAUACAUGGGAAUCUGCCCUUUAGUGGGGAAUAACCCGGCGAAAGCCGGGCUAAUGCCGCAUAAGAUCUUCGGAUGAAAGCGGGGAUCGUAAGACCUCGCGCUGAUGGAUGAGCCCACUGUCGGAUUAGCAGUUGGUGAGGUAACGGCUCACCAAGGCGACGAUCCGUAGCUGGUCUGAGAGGACGGCCAGCCACACUGGGACUGAGACACGGCCCAGACUCCUACGGGAGGCAGCAGUGGGGAAUAUUGGACAAUGGGGAAACCCUGAUCCAGCGACGCCGCGUGUGUGAAGAAGGCCUGCGGGUUGUAAAGC